Molecule: long non-coding RNA, 512 nt
Filed under: Daucus carota (carrot)
Lineage: Eukaryota; Viridiplantae; Streptophyta; Magnoliopsida; Apiales; Apiaceae
Description: long non-coding RNA (DCAR_LNC007399)
Source: RNAcentral
GCUUAUUUAUCUGAAUUGUUUGUUAAGGAAUUUAUUUGUUCUAUGAUGGAAUGUCUACCUUAUGUUAGUAGAACUUUUAGAACUUCAUGUUAUAUCUAAAACUAACUUAGGUAAUAGAGAUAGUAUAAUGCUGUAUAACAAAAGAUUGGGAUUAAUCCUUAUGCUCUUAGAAGAUUAUUGAAUAUCUGUAAUUCUACUUGCUACCUGUUACACUUGUGUUAAUUGGUUUAAGUAACGAGUACUGAAUCUUCUGAAUUGCAUAACUGCCUGUCUUGCUCUUGUCUUAUCUUUGUCUGUUUGCCAUGUGUACUCAACAUCAUGUCUGCUUAUUUUCUUGUCAUGAAUGCAUGUCCGUGUACUUGCAUUGAUUUUAGAAAAGCAUGUUUGAGAAUCAAAUUAGGGCAAUGUCUAAAUAAGAAUUAGCAUGUUAAGGUUGAUUCCGUUGUUACCACUGUUAAAGAAAAAUCUCUAAUCCAUCCGGACCCAGUUAUGAUUGGGGACCAUAGAACUCU